CGUACGGGAGGCAGCAGUGGGGAAUAUUGCACAAUGGGGGAAACCCUGAUGCAGCCAUUCCGCGUGUGUGAAGAAGGCCUUCGGGUUGUAAAGCACUUUCAGCGAGGAGGAAAGGGUGUAAGUUAAUACCUUACAUCUGUGACGUUACUCGCGGAAGAAGCACCGGCUAACUCCGUGCCAGCAGCCGCGGUAAUACGGAGGGUGCGAGCGUUAAUCGGAAUUACUGGGCGUAAAGCGUGCGCAGGCGGUUUGUUAAGCGAGAUGUGAAAGCCCCGGGCUCAACCUGGGAACCGCAUUUCGAACUGGCAAACUAGAGUCUUGUAGAGGGGGGUAGAAUUACAGGUGUAGCGGUGAAAUGCGUAGAGAUCUGGAGGAAUACCGGUGGCGAAGGCGGCCCCCUGGACAAAGACUGACGCUCAGGCACGAAAGCGUGGGGAGCAAACA
Molecule: ribosomal RNA, 444 nt
Filed under: uncultured Shewanella sp.
Lineage: Bacteria; Pseudomonadati; Pseudomonadota; Gammaproteobacteria; Alteromonadales; Shewanellaceae
Description: bacterial SSU rRNA
Rfam family: Bacterial small subunit ribosomal RNA
Source: RNAcentral